RNAcentral lists this ribosomal RNA (233 nucleotides) under uncultured bacterium. RNAcentral describes it as "partial 16S ribosomal RNA". It matches the Rfam family "Bacterial small subunit ribosomal RNA", at positions 15 to 237 of the family's 1533-position model. The record is from RNAcentral.
GAUCCUGGCUCAGGAUGAACGCUAGCUACAGGCUUAACACAUGCAAGUCGAGGGGCAGCGGGGAUUGAAGCUUGCUUCAAUUGCCGGCGACCGGCGCACGGGUGAGUAACGCGUAUCCAACCUUCCGCAUACUCGGGAGAUAGCCUUCUGAAAAGGAGAUUAAUACCCGAUGGUAUCAAGAGAUUGCNUGAUAACUUGAUUAAAUAAUUUCGGUUAUGCGAUGGGGAUGCGUU